This 1371-nucleotide ribosomal RNA is filed under the name uncultured bacterium. Its description in RNAcentral is "bacterial SSU rRNA". It matches the Rfam family "Bacterial small subunit ribosomal RNA", at positions 28 to 1381 of the family's 1533-position model. The record is from RNAcentral.
GAUGAACGCUGGCGGCGUGCCUAAUACAUGCAAGUCGAGCGAACGGACGAGAAGCUUGCUUUUCUGAUGUUAGCGGCGGACGGGUGAGUAACACGUGGAUAACCUACCUAUAAGACUGGGAUAACUUCGGGAAACCGGAGCUAAUACCGGAUAAUAUUUUGAACCGCAUGGUUCAAAAGUGAAAGACGGUCUUGCUGUCACUUAUAGAUGGAUCCGCGCUGCAUUAGCUAGUUGGUAAGGUAACGGCUUACCAAGGCAACGAUGCAUAGCCGACCUGAGAGGGUGAUCGGCCACACUGGAACUGAGACACGGUCCAGACUCCUACGGGAGGCAGCAGUAGGGAAUCUUCCGCAAUGGGCGAAAGCCUGACGGAGCAACGCCGCGUGAGUGAUGAAGGUCUUCGGAUCGUAAAACUCUGUUAUUAGGGAAGAACAUAUGUGUAAGUAACUGUGCACAUCUUGACGGUACCUAAUCAGAAAGCCACGGCUAACUACGUGCCAGCAGCCGCGGUAAUACGUAGGUGGCAAGCGUUAUCCGGAAUUAUUGGGCGUUAAGCGCGCGUAGGCGGUUUUUUAGUCUGAUGUGAAAGCCCACGGCUCAACCGUGGAGGGUCAUUGGAAACUGGAAAACUUGAGUGCAGAAGAGGAAAGUGGAAUUCCAUGUGUAGCGGUGAAAUGCGCAGAGAUAUGGAGGAACACCAGUGGCGAAGGCGACUUUCUGGUCUGUAACUGACGCUGAUGUGCGAAAGCGUGGGGAUCAAACAGGAUUAGAUACCCUGGUAGUCCACGCCGUAAACGAUGAGUGCUAAGUGUUAGGGGGUUUCCGCCCCUUAGUGCUGCAGCUAACGCAUUAAGCACUCCGCCUGGGGAGUACGACCGCAAGGUUGAAACUCAAAGGAAUUGACGGGGACCCGCACAAGCGGUGGAGCAUGUGGUUUAAUUCGAAGCAACGCGAAGAACCUUACCAAAUCUUGACAUCCUUUGACAACUCUAGAGAUAGAGCCUUCCCCUUCGGGGGACAAAGUGACAGGUGGUGCAUGGUUGUCGUCAGCUCGUGUCGUGAGAUGUUGGGUUAAGUCCCGCAACGAGCGCAACCCUUAAGCUUAGUUGCCAUCAUUAAGUUGGGCACUCUAAGUUGACUGCCGGUGACAAACCGGAGGAAGGUGGGGAUGACGUCAAAUCAUCAUGCCCCUUAUGAUUUGGGCUACACACGUGCUACAAUGGACAAUACAAAGGGCAGCGAAACCGCGAGGUUAAGCAAAUCCCAUAAAGUUGUUCUCAGUUCGGAUUGUAGUCUGCAGCUCGACUACAUGAAGCUGGAAUCGCUAGUAAUCGUAGAUCAGCAUGCUACGGUGAAUACGUUCCCGGGUCU